AACUGACUUGAUGAUGGUGCUGGUUGUGAAAGGUCAUGCGAUCACAACAGCCAAGGUUCAAAGGCAAAUAGACAGAAAAUUCCACAGUUCAGUCGGCAAGCACAAGUGUGAUUUUGUCAAGAGUCGCUGCACGAGGUUAACGUGCAUGGAUAAAGUCAACACAACUCUGACAAGCUUUGGCCUCUUGAUCCUGAAUGAACACUUGUGUUUUUGCUGUACUCCAGCAGCACUGUCUCCGUCACGAUGCCCUGAAUAAUCAAACACCUGCAAGUCCACAUUCCAGCAUCUUUAUGGCAACCUUCUUGUUCUCCGUGGUCCACACAGCUUCCCACACCUCUCCAAAGUGCCCCUCUCCCAGCUUCUUGUGGAGCUUGAACUCCUCUCGAGGUCUCUCCCACGGCUCCAUGUCGAACAGCUCCCGCUGCACAGAGAUGAGAGGUACUGUCUGUGUGUAGUUUGUACGUUUUUCUAGUUUUUCAGGAUUGUUGCAAGAUGACAGCUUUUCCCUCAGAUGAUGGAUGAGCAUAUUACCACCAUUGUGUGUAAGCCUCAGAUUCAAAGCCUCUGCUGGAAGAGAAGAAGAGGGAGGAAUCACUGAGUGGCCUCUGAUAGAAAGAUGACUCAAACACUUUUUUUUUUUAUCCAUGAGGCAAACACUGCAACUUGAUGCUCAUCUUUGAUCCAUUUCAAAAAUGUCAAAUAACAUUUAAUCCCUAAACAUCACUUGAUAUUUUUGAUGCUAGUGUCAGAGACGUGUGGUGUGUCGUUGCCGCUUUUCUUAUUUUUCAGCAAAAAAAGACACUAACAAUCCUCAUGGAGCUUAUUUGCCGAGUUGAUGAAUCAUGAAUAAAGUUUGUUGGUGGUUUAAUUUUAAGCUGUGUUGCUGAUACACUGCAUGUAAUUAAACUUUCUGAAAUAUU
This is a long non-coding RNA of Solea senegalensis (Senegalese sole), 920 nucleotides long. RefSeq lists it as uncharacterized. The transcript is spliced from 6 exons. The record is from RefSeq and is a predicted model, not a curated record. Lineage: Eukaryota; Metazoa; Chordata; Actinopteri; Pleuronectiformes; Soleidae.